CGGGAUGUGGCCUAGUCUGGUAAGGCGUCGGUCUGGGGGACCGAAGAUCGUUGGUUCAAAUCCAAUCAUCCCGACCA
Molecule: transfer RNA, 77 nt
Filed under: Deltaproteobacteria bacterium
Lineage: Bacteria; Pseudomonadati; Myxococcota; Myxococcia
Description: tRNA-Pro
Rfam family: tRNA
About the family: Transfer RNA (tRNA) molecules are approximately 80 nucleotides in length. Their secondary structure includes four short double-helical elements and three loops (D, anti-codon, and T loops). Further hydrogen bonds mediate the characteristic L-shaped molecular structure. tRNAs have two regions of fundamental functional importance: the anti-codon, which is responsible for specific mRNA codon recognition, and the 3' end, to which the tRNAs corresponding amino acid is attached (by aminoacyl-tRNA synthetases). tRNAs cope with the degeneracy of the genetic code in two manners: having more than one tRNA (with a specific anti-codon) for a particular amino acid; and 'wobble' base-pairing, i.e. permitting non-standard base-pairing at the 3rd anti-codon position.
Source: RNAcentral